UGAAAAACCAUAACACCAGUUAAAUAGCCGCGGUAACUCUGACCGUGAUAAAGUAGCAUAAUCAUUUGUCAUUUAAUUGGUGACUAGAAUGAAUGGUUAAACGAAUCUCUAGCUGUCUCAACAAGAAAUAGAACAAAAUUAAAAUUACAGUGAAGAUGCUGUGAAUAAAUUGCAAGACGAAAAGACCCUAUUGAGCUUUACUGGAUGUUUGUAAACUUUUCUCAUCAUAAUAAUAUAAGUGACCUAUAAAGCAAAUAAGACAGUUUGGUUGGGGCGACCACCUCUAAAAUAGUAACAGAGGAGAUCUAAAGGUUAAAUUUAUGAAUACUAACUUUACUGAAAUAAUAAUAGUUUAAUCAGUUACUCACUAAGUAGGACAUAAUGACCCGCUAUUUUUUAUGUAAAAAAUAACGAUUACAGAAUAAGUUACCAUAGGGAUAACAGGGUAAUAGUUUUCAAGAGUUCAUAUCGACGAAACUGUUUGCCACCUCGAUGUUGAAUUGUGAUAUC
This 510-nucleotide ribosomal RNA is filed under the name Cyanea capillata. Its description in RNAcentral is "partial large subunit ribosomal RNA". It matches the Rfam family "Bacterial large subunit ribosomal RNA", at positions 1905 to 2546 of the family's 2925-position model. The record is from RNAcentral. Lineage: Eukaryota; Metazoa; Cnidaria; Scyphozoa; Semaeostomeae; Cyaneidae.